Molecule: microRNA precursor, 135 nt
Filed under: Medicago truncatula (barrel medic)
Lineage: Eukaryota; Viridiplantae; Streptophyta; Magnoliopsida; Fabales; Fabaceae
Description: MIR2599 microRNA precursor family
Rfam family: MIR2599 microRNA precursor family
Source: Rfam by way of RNAcentral
GUGGGUAUAAGGAAUCUACUUUAUUCAACACACUAACCUAAUUUCCGAGACAUGUUACAUACCUGAAACAAUAUGUCUUAGAAAUUAGAAUUUUUCUUGGUUUGUGUGCUGAACAAAGUAGAUUCCUUGUACCCA